Molecule: ribosomal RNA, 492 nt
Filed under: uncultured bacterium
Lineage: Bacteria
Description: partial 16S ribosomal RNA
Rfam family: Bacterial small subunit ribosomal RNA
Source: RNAcentral
AGUGAACGCUGGCGGUAGGCCUAACACAUGCAAGUCGAACGGCAGCACAGUAAGAGCUUGCUCUUACGGGUGGCGAGUGGCGGACGAGUGAGGAAUACAUCGGAAUCUACUUUUUCGUGGGGGAUAACGUAGGGAAACUUACGCUAAUACCGCAUACGACCUACGGGUGAAAGCAGGGGAUCUUCGGACCUUGCGCGAUUGAAUGAGCCGAUGUCGGAUUAGCUAGUUGGCGGGGUAAAGGCCCACCAAGGCGACGAUCCGUAGCUGGUCUGAGAGGAUGAUCAGCCACACUGGAACUGAGACGCGGUCCAGACUCCUACGGGAGGCAGCAGUGGGGAAUAUUGGACAAUGGGCGCAAGCCUGAUCCAGCCAUACCGCGUGGGUGAAGAAGACCUUCGGGUUGUAAAGCCCUUUUGUUGGGAAAGAAAAGCAGCAGGUUAAUACCCCGCUGUUCUGACGGUACCCAAAGAAUAAGCACCGGCUAACUUCGUG